RNAcentral lists this ribosomal RNA (494 nucleotides) under uncultured bacterium. Its description in RNAcentral is "bacterial SSU rRNA". It matches the Rfam family "Bacterial small subunit ribosomal RNA", at positions 29 to 517 of the family's 1533-position model. The record is from RNAcentral.
AACGAACGCUGGCGGCGCGCCUAAUACAUGCAAGUCGAGCGAGAAGACGUAGCAAUACGUUUGUAAAGCGGCGAACGGGUGAGGAAUACAUGGGCAACCUACCCUAGAGUGGGGAAUAACUAGCCGAAAGGUUAGCUAAUACCGCGUACGCUCCUUGGACUUCGGUUCAGGGAGGAAAGCGAUACCGAGGGUAUCGCGCUCUUGGAUGGGCUCAUGUCCUAUCAGCUGUUGGUGAGGUAACGGCUCACCAAGGCUUCGACGGGUAGCUGGUCUGAGAGGACGAUCAGCCACACUGGCACUGCGACACGGGCCAGACUCCUACGGGAGGCAGCAGUAAGGAAUAUUGCGCAAUGGGCGAAAGCCUGACGCAGCGACGCCGCGUGGGGGAUGAAGGUCUUCGGAUUGUAAACCCCUUUCGGGAGGGAAGAUGGAACGAGCAAUCGUUCGGACGGUACCUCCAGAAGCAGCCACGGCUAACUUCGUGCCAGCAGCCG